UUGGUCCUAUCAAUACCACCGAACGACGGAGAUGCUGUCCCUCAACCCAACAACCAAUAGGAUCAUCUGUACUGGAAGCUCUGGGGGUUUUGUGAAUGUGCCAGCGAACAAGGAAAUGAUUGUGAAGUAAAAACGAAAAACAACACAUCAGUGUUUUAAUCGUAACGUGGAAUGGCUCAGCUAGUGGGGUUGGGAAUCCUAGCACUCGUUGUCAGUUGACGUGUGAAAGGGGCUGCAACAGCAAUUGGACGCAAUCUAGCUACCAGUGCUAAAUUAGCUAACAUUAGGUGAAAGUCAAAGGCAAGGAAUUAGCUCGCUGGCUAGGUGACAAUACAUUCCAGUUCACAUAACGUCAAUGCCAACAUGGCAGGGGGCAACAACAACGGCCAAGGGACAGGAGUCGGAGAGGAGAAGACGGCUUCUCCUAGACAGAGUGAAGUGAACAGAAAGCUGAAAUACAUCAGUUUGGCCAUCCUUGUUGUCCAGAAUGCCUCUCUCAUCCUCAGCAUUCGCUAUGUCCGUACGCUGCCCGGUGAUCGUUUCUUCACCACCUCUGCAGUGGUUAUGGCAGAGGUGCUCAAAGUACUUACCUGUCUUCUCAUCAUUUUAUUCCAGAGAAAAGGAAACGUAAAGGAGUUUAUUGUAUUGCACUACAACUCCAUUGUCAUCCAAUACAAGGACACGCUUAAACUGGCUGUCCCAGCCCUCAUCUAUACCUUGCAGAACAACCUCCAGUAUGUGGCUAUAUCCAAUUUACCAGCAGCUACUUUCCAGGUGACCUACCAGCUGAAAAUUCUGACCACAGCCCUUUUCUCUGUGCUGAUGCUGCGGAAGAGCCUAUCACGGAUUCAGUGGCUGUCCCUGCUCCUGCUGUUCGCUGGGGUUGCUAUUGUACAACUGGAGCAGGAAGGAAAACGGAAGGAGACUACAGUCACUGGACCGAGCCAGAACUAUGCCAAAGGACUGGUGGCAGUGAUAGUGUCCUGCCUCUCCUCUGGCUUUGCUGGAGUGUACUUUGAGAAAAUCCUUAAGGGCAGCUCAGCCUCUGUGUGGAUGAGGAACAUCCAGCUGGGCAUAUUUGGCACUCUACUAGGCCUGUUGGGGAUGUGGUGGAACGAUGGCCUUGCCAUUGCAGAGAAGGGCUUCCUGUUUGGGUACACACCCAUGGUGUGGGGCGUCAUCUUUAACCAGGCUUUUGGGGGUUUACUGGUGGCGGUGGUAGUGAAGUACGCAGACAACAUCCUGAAGGGGUUCGCCACUUCCUUUUCCAUCAUCGUCUCCACUGUAGUCUCUGUCUACCUCUUUGGGUUCCACGUGGACCUCCUCUUCACUCUGGGUGCUGGUCUGGUCAUUGGAGCCGUCUAUAUGUAUAGUCUGCCCAAAGCAGCUGCUCCCUCCCCGUCUACUGCUACCCUCUCCUCUUCCAGCCACAGUCUCGCCGACGGCGCUGGAGACUCAGAGACGGAAGCUUUCCUCCCAAAGUCAGUCCUGGUGAAAUGAGCGAUCUGCAAUCCUGUCUGUCCUUCUCUUCUUCCUUUCAAAUCUCAUUAUUUUUCCAUCUGGACUAAAACAAACUUUGCUUUCCAUCUUUAUCUUUCUGCUACGGUACUUAUAUUUAAUUUGGGAACUUCAUAUCAAUAGAUUUUUUUGAUACAAAUGGAAGGGGUAGGGCAUCUCUGUAUUUUAGUUCUGUAGAUAGCCCAAGGUUGUUUUUCCUCAGACUAUCCAUCAGUUUAUUCUGCCUAUAAUGGAAUGGGUAGCCAGAGAUUUUAACUCUGUUUUCGUGCAGUAGUCUGCUAAGUUUCAAUACUUUCUGAAAGCACAAGAGGGUGAAGUAUGAAAACUUGUGAUAUUCUUUUCAUGUUAAUCAUGCCUCUGGGAAUAUCUUUGCUUUCAAUACUUAGUUCUCUACAGACCCCUCUUUGCCUUAAACAAUGUAUUUUUAAUCAAAAGAAAGCCUUACUACAUAUCCAGAUGACUUGCCAGAGGACUUAAAAUACAGCUGCAACUUUUGUGGUUUUUUAAAUUUAAGUUAUGGUCUUCAAGAAACCUAGUUACUUGGAGACAGCUCUUCAGACAGAGUCUGGCCAUUCUACCAUAAAGGCCUGAUUUAGUGGAGUACUGCAGAGAUGGUUGUCCAUCUGAACUAUAAUGGAAUAUAGUUGAAAGAUUUCCAAUUGGCAUGGGGACUUUAUAAAUGUCUGUAAACCUAGAAACUGAAAAGGAGUUUGAGGUGUUCCGGGAAUUAAUUUAUUUCUGUCUGCUCUCGUUUGAGCUCUUCAGGUGUACUUUAAUUUCUGAAGUAGACCCAACUAAUCUAAUCCCAUCCUAACGGCACCUAAAAGAGAGGCUAGUUUAGGGUGGGCCGGGCUAGUUUGGGCACCACCUGAGCUAAUGGUCAUGCUGUGCCUUUUCUCUUUCAUUUGUACAGUAAUGAUAUCAUUUGUUGACAAAAGUUGAAAAUGUAUAAAUAAUAUCACAUUUAUAAUUUAAUUUUUUGCUUCGAAUAAUUGUGACAGCUUUGUGGAAAUAUGCUCAUGCUCAUAUUUAUACACAAACUGUUCUCUAAGAUGUCUUUUUUUAUUAUUAUUAUUUUUUUUAGAUAUCAACUGGAGUUGAUGGAAUGUUUUAAUGUUUUUUGUCAAAGUGGAAAGUGUUUGUCCCUGAGCAAAAAACACAGAGUAAACUGGACAAGUAUCAAAUGGUAAAGCAUUAGUUGUGGGUGUUUUUUUUUUUUUACACUCAAGUCUGCUUUAUUAUCAUAUUAAAUGAAGGAGCUUUUCUCUUUACAUCGAAGUUAAAUCCCAAUGUUACCAGAGAAUAUUGAACAUACUUGCUUAGAUUUUGCAAGAAUGGUUUCUUUAAAAUCAUCAAGCUGACAAGGACAAUAUACUGUAUUUUUAGGCAGCUAAAAUCAUUUGUCAUGAAUUGGUUUAUUUAGUUUUUUGUUUACUUUUGGGCUGUUGGUGUUGGAUUGGGUUAGAAAUUCAGAUACAGCUGCUCAUAGUCUUUUGACCUACAGCCAAUUCAUAUAAUUUAAAAUGCAUAAAUAAGUAGGCCUGUAUAUAGAAUUAUAUCUUAAGUCUGGGUUAGUAUCAUUGACUUUAAACAAAUAAAUUGAUAGACUUAUUAAAGGCAGUUUGAAAAUGCUUUACAAUUGUAAUUCAUAAGGCAGGUGAUAUUUCUCACAAUUUGUCUGUGGUCAUUUUUCAGUGUGAAAUAUCAGGAAAAAAACGAAUUGAUACAGUUUAGAUCCAAGAAAAGUAUUUAUCUGAAAUUUAAGACUAUGUUCAUGACUUAGCAAUUUCUGUACACUCAGCAAAAGCAUACUUUAUUUAGUCAUCAACAUUUUACUACAGUAUCCACAUGCCUUUUGGCCUCUAUGAGAAAUGACCCGACCACCAUAUGCUGGAAUAAUUAUUGCACACUUACGUGUUACCUAUUUAAGUUAUCUAAGAAAUAGUAUCUGGUCUCAGUAUGAUAAGGUUAUCGUUGUGUUCCUCCUCAGAAAGACUAUUAGCAGCUGUUCAAUAUGGGAUGAAUUUGUCUGCGUUCAUUGCCUUCAAUGUUGAUACAGAGUCACUGGCCUCCACUUGGUGUCUUAUUGUCCCACAUCGCUGUUCAGCGUUGGAUGCAUUUAUAUCUGUGCGAUAUGAAAUGAACGUAUGAAGAAAAAGAUAGUUAUCAUGGGCCUCUGAAAAGGAAAAAGGAUGCUAAGAAAGUGCUUCACGUCUGAAGGCAUACCAUGCCUGCAUCUCAUGCCAAAGUGAUGUUGAAAGGAAAAUUAUUACAAAUGCCUUCUAUUAAUUUAAUUGAAAUUCCUAUACUAGCAGAUCUGUUGGAGAUGUUUGCCUCGGAUGCGAAUGGGUAUUGUAUGAAGAGAAUUACGUUAUCUUUUAAUCAUGCUUAGUUUACAUGUAACAGAUCAGGAGUUGAAACUUCCUUUGUAGAAAAUAUUUCCUUACACUGUUGCCUUACUAUUUAUCUAUAUAACAUUAACAUGAGUUCUUGUUAAAAAAUAAUUUUCUGCUCCGUAUCUACCCAUUUAUAACAAGUAUUAUUUAAUUCCCAUAAGAUUGUUGAAUAGUGUUUAAUUAUUAGUUGUAUGAUGUGUGUGAUGCAUUGAAACACUAAUAUCAGCCUUUAAUGUAAAUCUAUCACGGCCUAUAUUUUACUUUUAAUGUGUUUGUUCAACACCCAGCUAAGCAAAACUGAAAAUGUGUUAAAGGCAGCAGGUAGCCUAGUGUUUUAGGGGGUUGGGCCAGUAACCGGAAGGUCGCUGGUUCGAAUCUGUAGCCAAUUAGGGGGGGAAUCUGUCGAUGUGCCCUUGAGUUACUUAAUUACUCCUGUUAGUUGCUCUGGAUAAGAGCACCUGCUAAAUAAAUGUAAAUGUUUUGACUUUUA
This is an RNA transcript of Salvelinus fontinalis (brook trout), 4404 nucleotides long. It is a transcript of the gene named solute carrier family 35 member 2, with no coding region annotated. The transcript has 5 exons. Lineage: Eukaryota; Metazoa; Chordata; Actinopteri; Salmoniformes; Salmonidae. The record is from RefSeq and is a predicted model, not a curated record.